This 460-nucleotide ribosomal RNA is filed under the name uncultured bacterium. RNAcentral describes it as "partial 16S ribosomal RNA". It matches the Rfam family "Bacterial small subunit ribosomal RNA", at positions 338 to 795 of the family's 1533-position model. The record is from RNAcentral.
CCUACGGGGUGCUGCAGUGAGGAAUAUUGGUCAAUGGCCGGAAGGCUGAUCCAGCCAAGCCGCGUGAAGGACGAAGGUGCCAAGCAUUGUAAACUUCUUUUGUCAAGGGACAAAAUCAGGCUCGAGUGCCUGACCGAGGGUACUUGACGAACACGCAUCGGCUAACUCCGGGCCAGCAGCCGCGGUAAUACGGAGGAUGCGUGCGUUAUCCGGAUUUACUGGGUGUAAAGGGAGCGUAGACGGUGCGCCAAGUCUGGAGUGAAAUGCCGCAGCUUAACUGCGGAACUGCUUUGGAAACUGGCGAACUAGAGUGCGGGAGGGGGAAGCGGAAUUCCUAGUGUAGCGGUGAAAUGCGUAGAUAUUAGGAGGAACACCGGUGGCGAAGGCGGCUUACUGGACCUUAACUGACGUUGAGGCUCGAAGGCGAGGGGAGCAAACAGGAUUAGAUACCCGGGUAGUC